UUUUAUUUUGUUGAGCAGUGGUUCGUAGUUCUCCUUGAAGAGGUCCUUCACAUCCUUGUAAGUUGUAUUACUAGGUAUAUUAUUCUCUUUGUAUUAGUUGUGAAUGUGAGUUCACUCAUGAUUUGACUCUGUCUGUUAUUGGCAUACAAGAAUGCUUGUGAUUUUUGCACAUUGAUUUUGUAUCCUGAGACUUUGCUGAAGUUGCUUAUCAGCUUAAGGAGAUUUUGGGCUGAGAUGAUGGGGUUUUCUAAAUAUACAAUCCUGUCAUCUAUAAACAGAGACAAUUUGACUUCCUCUUUUUCCUAACUGAAUACCAUUUAUUUCUUUAUCUUGCCUGAUUGCCCUGGCCAGAACUUCCAAUACUAUGUUGAAUGGGAGUGGUGAGAGAGGGCAUCCUUGUCUUGUGCCGGUUUUCAAAGGGAAUGCUUCCAGUUUUUGCCCAUUCAGUAUGAUACUGGCUGUGGGUUUGUCAUAAAUAGUUCUUAUUAUUUUGAGAUAUGUUUCAUCAGUACCUAGUUUAUUGAGAGUUUUUAGCAUGAAGGGCUGUAGAAUUUUGUCAAAGGUCUUUUCUGCAUCUAUUGAAAUAAUCGUGUGGGUUUUUUUGUUGGUUCUGUUUAUUUGAUGGAUUAUGUUUAUUGAUUUGCAUAUGUUGAACCAGCCUUGCAUCCCAGGGAUGAACCUGACCUGAUUGUGGUGGAUAAGCUUUUUGAUGUGCUGCUGGAUUUGGUUUGCGAGCAUUUUAUUGAGGAUUUUCACAUCGAUAUUCAUAGGGAUAUUGGUCUAAAAUUCUCUUUUUUUCUUGUGUCUCUGCCAGGCUUUGGUAUCAGGAUGAUGUUGGCCUCAUAAAAUGAGUUAGGGAGGAUUCCUCUUUUUCUAUUGGUUGGAAUAGUUUCAGAAGGAAUGGUACCAGCUCCUCUUUGUACCUCUGGUAGAAUUUGGCUGUGAAUCUGUCUGGUCCUGGACUUUUUUUGGUUGGUAGGCUAUUAAUUAUUGCCUCAAUUUCAGAACCUGUUAUUGGUCUAUUCAGAGAUUCAACUUCUUCCUAGUUUAGUCUUGGAAGGGUGUAUGUGUCCAGGAAUUUAUCCAUUUCUUCUAGAUUUUCUAGUUUAUUUGAGUAGAGGUAUUUAUAGUAUUCUCUGAUGGUAGUUUGUAUUUCUGUGGGAUCGGUGGUGAUAUCCCCUUUAUCAUUUUUUAUUGUGUCUCUUUGAUUCUUCUCUGUUUUCUUCUUUAUUAGUCUUGCUAGCAGUCUUUCAAUUUUGUUGAGCUUUUCAGAAAACCAGCUCCUGGAUUCAUUGAGUUUUUGAAGAGCCUUUUUUGUCUCUAUCUCCUUCAGUUCGGCUCUGAUCUUAGUUAUUUCCUGCCUUCUGCUAGCUUUUGAAUGUGUUUGCUCUUGCUUCUCUAGUUCUUUUAAUUGUGACGUUAGGAUGUUGAUUUUUUAUCUUUCCUGCUUUCUCUUAUGGGCAUUUAUUGCUAUAAAUUUCCCUCAAAGCACUGCUUUAGCUGUGUCCCAGAGAUUCUGGUACAUUGUGUGUUUGUUCUCAUUGGCUUCAAAGAACAUCUUUAUUUCUGCCUUCAUUUCAUUAUUUACCCAGUAGCCAUUCAGGACCACGUUGUUCAGUUUCCAUGUAGUUGUGCGAUUCUGGAUGAGUUUCUUAAUCCUCAGUUCUAGUUUGAUUGCACUGUGGUCUGAGAGACAGUUUGUUGUGAUUUAUGUUCUUUUAUAUUUGCUGGGGAGUGCUUUACUUCCAAAUAUGUUGUCAAUUUUAGAAUAAGUGCGACAUGGUGCUGAGAAGAAUGUAUAUUUUGUUGAUUUGGAGUGGAGAGUUCUGUAGAUGUCUAUUAGAUCUGCUUGGUGCAGAGCUGAGUUCAAGUCUUAGAUAUUCUUGUUAACCUUCUGUCUCAUUGAUCUGUCUAAUAUUGACAGUGGGGUGUUAAAGUCUCCCAUUAUUAUUGUGUGGGAGUCUAAGUCUCUGUGUAGGUCUCUAAGGACUUGCUUUAUGAAUCUGGGUGUUCCUGUAUUGGGUGCAUAUAUAUUUAGGAUAGUUAGCUCUUCUUGUUGAAUUGAUCCCUUUACCAUUAUGUAAUGACCUUCUUUGUCUCUUUUGAUCUUUCUUGGUUUAAAGUCUGUUUUAUCAGAGACUGGGAUUGCAACCCCUGCUUUUUUUUGUUUUGCAUUUGCUUGGUAGAUCUUCCUCCAUCCCUUUAUUUUGAGCCUAUGUGUGUCUCUGCACGUGAGAUGGGUCUCCUGAAUACAGCACACUGAUGGGUCUUGACUCUAUCCAAUUUGCCAGUCUGUCUUUUAAUUGGGGCAUUUAACCCAUUUACAUUUAAGGUUAAUAUUGUCAUGUGUGAAUUUAAUCCUGUCAUUUUGGUGUUAGCUGGUUAUUUUGCCUGUUAAUUGAUGCAGUUUCUUCAUAGCAUCAAUGGUGUUUACAAUUUGGCAUGUUUUUGCAGUGGCUGAUACCAGUUGUUUCUUUCUGUGUUUAGUGCUUCCUUCAGGAGCUCUUGUAAGGCAGGCCUGGUGGUAACACAAUCUCUCAGCAUUUGCUUGUCUGUAAGUGAUUUUAUUUCUCCUUCACUUAUGAAGCUUAGUUUGUCUGGAUAUGAAAUUCUGGGUUGAAAGUUCUUUUCUUUAAGAAUAUUGAAUAUUGGCCCCCAUUCUCUUCUGGUUUGUAGCAUUUCUGACAAGAGAUCUGCUGUUAGCCUGAUGGGCUUCCCUUUGUGGGUAACCCGACCUUUCUUUCUGGCUGCACUUAACAUUUUUUCCUUCAUUUCAACCAUGGUGAAUCUGACAAUUAUGUGUCUUGGGGUUUCUCUUCUCGAGGAGUAUCUUUGUGGUGUUCUCUGUGUUUCCUGAGUUUGAAUGUUGGCCUGCCUUGUUAGGUUGGAAAGUUCUCCUGGAUAAUAUCCUGAAGAGUUGUUUUCCAACUUGGUUCCAUUCUCCCCAUCACUUUCAGGUAUGCCAAUCAAACAUAGAUUUGGUCUUUUCACAUAGUCCCAUGUUUCUUGGAGGUUUUGUUCAUUUCUUUUUACUCUUUUUUCUCUAACCUUGCCUUCUCGCUUUAUUUCAUUAAUUUGAUCUUCAAUCACUGAUACCCUUUCUUCCACUUGAUGGAAUUGGCUACUGAAGCUUGUACAUGCGGGACGAAGUUCUCAUGCCAUGGUUUUCAGCUCCAUCAGGUCAUUUAAAUUCUUCUCUACACUGUUUAUUCUAGUUAGACAUUUGUCUAACAUUUUUUCAAGGUUUUUAGCUUCCUUGCGAUGGGUUCAAACAUGUUCCCUUUAGCUUGGAGAAGUUUGUUGUUACCGACCUUCUGAGGCCUACUUCUGUCAACUCAGCAAAGUCAUUCUCCAUCCAGCUUUGUUCUGUUGGCUGGCGAGGAGCUGCGAUCCUUUGGAGGAGAAGAGGCGUUCUGAUUUUUAGAAUUUUCAGCUUUUCUGCUCUGGUUUCUCCCCAUCUUUGUGGUUUUAUCUACCUUUGGUCUUUGAUGUUGGUGACCUACAGUUGGGGUUUUGUGUAGAUGUCCUUUUUGUUGAUGUUGAUGCUAUUCCUUUCUGUUUGUUAGUUUUCCCUCGGCUGCAGUUCUGUUGGAGUUUGCCGGAGACCCUGUUUGCCUGGGUAUCAUCAGCGGAAGCUGCUGAACAGCAUAUAUUGCAGAACAGCAAAUAUUGCUGCUUGAUCCUUCCUCUGGAAUCUUUGUCCCAGAGGGGCACCCACCUAUAUGAGGUGUCUGUUGGCCCCUACUGGGAGGUGACUCCCAGUUAGGCUACACAGGGGUCAGGGACCCACUUGAGGAGGCAGUCUGUCUGUUCUUAGAGCUCAGAUGCCAUGUUGGGAGAACCACUGCUGUCUUCAGAGCUGUCAGCCAGGGAGGUUAAGUCUGCAGAAGUUGUCUGCUGCCUUGUGUUUAGUUAAGCCCUGCCCACAGAGGUGGAGUCUAGAGGCAGUAAGCCUUGCUGAGCUGCAGUGGGCUGCGCUUAGUUGAGCUUACUGGCUGCUUUGUUUACCUACUCAAGCCUCAGCAAUGUCGGACGCCCCUCCCCCAGCCAGGCUGCCACUUUACAGUUCAAUCUCACACUGCUGCGCUAGCAGUGAGCAAGGCUCUGUGGGCGUGGGACCCGCUGAGCCAGGCACGGGAGAGAAUCUCUUUGUCUGCCUGUUGCUAAGACCUUGGGAAAAGUGCAGUAUUUAGGUGGGAGUGUCCCGUUUUUCCAGGUACAGUCUGUCACAGCUUCCAUUGGGUAGGAAAGGGAAUUCCCCCUACCCCUUGCAUUUCCUGGGUGAGGCGACACCCCGCCCUCCUUCCUCUUGCCCUCCUUGGGCUGCAACCACUGUCCAGCCAGUCCCAAAGAGAUGAACCAGGUACCUCGGUUGGAAAUGCAGAAAUCACCCAUCUUCUGUGUCAAUCCCGCUGGGAGCUGCAGACCGGAGCUGUUCCUAUUUGGUCAUCUUGUUAUAUCUUAUAUAUAUAUGUUUUUUAAUUGCUUACCUACAAAAAAAUAUUCUUUGGAGAAAUUAUUCAAGUUCCUAAAUGCAAUUACCCUUGCUCUGUGUACAAAUAAGCUUUAAAAAAAUUUUUUUUUGCACAUUAUUGAAUAUUCAUUUGUAUACUCUGAUAAAUUGCAAUUGAAUUUAAAACAUUAUGUCUAGAUAGGCUUUCCUAGACCCCCUCCAUGUAUAAAAGUGAUGGAAGGACAGUGGUUUUCACUCAUAUACAUGCACACACAAUUUCACAUAUAUGCAUUUAUCCAUAAAUAUGCAUAUACACAUACAUUAAAAUGUAUAAAGCCUGGGCACAGUGGCUCAUGCCUGUAAUUCCAGCACUUUGGGAGGUUGAGGCAGGCGGAUCACAAGCUCAGGAGAUUGAGACCAUCCUGGCUAACAUGGUGAAACCCCGUCUCUACUAAAAAAUACAAAAAAAUUAGCCAGGCGUGGUGGUGGGUGCCUGUAGUCCCAGCUACUCAGGAGGCUGAGGCAGGAGAAUGGCGUGAACCUGGGAGGUAGAGCUUGCAGUGAGCCAAGAUCAUGCCACUGCACUCCAGCCUGGGUGAUAGAGCGAGACUCCAUCUCAAAAAAAAAAAAAAAAAAAAAAAUUAGGCAGAUACUUCACAGAAGAAGUAAAAAUGACUAAUACAUAUAAAAUUAGUUCUGUGUAAUUGAUCAUCAAAAAAAUUUUAUGAAAUACACAUCAAACAUUGACAUCCCAUUUUUUUCUUAUUUAAGAUUUUAAAAUUACAGUCUUGCUGGUGAAUGCAUGAUACACAAGCUUCUGGUGGAAGUAUAACUUGGUACAACCUUUUGUAAAGCAUUUUUGACAUAAGGUAUCAAAAGUCUUAAAAUUAUUUAUAACCUUUGCUUCUCUAUUUCGACUUCUUAGGGUCUAGCCAAGUAAAAUCUUAAUCAGAUAUAGUAAAAAAAAUUGUAUAUAAAAAUAUUCAUUAUUCAUUAAUGUUUAGUAUUGAAAACACCUAAAAAUUUUGUAACAAUAAGAAAUUGAUUAAAUUAAUUGGGGUACAUUCAUAAUUUGAAAUGCUAUACAGCUAUUAAAAACUUGAAUUUUGAAGGUCUUAGCUACUUGAAAAAAUUCUCGUUAAAAAUUUGAACACACAAAGGCCAUACCUGACAAACCCACAGCUAACAUCAUACUGAAUGGGGAAAAGUUGAAAGCCUUUUCUCUAAGAACUGGAAUAAGUCAGGAUGCCUACUUUCACCACUCCUCUUCAACAAAGUAAUAGAAGUCCUAGCCAGAGUAAUCAGGCAAGAGAAAGAAGUAAAAGACAUCCAAAUUGGAAAAAAGAAAGUCAUAUUAUCACUCUUUGCAGAUGAUGUAAUCUUAUAUUUAGAAAAACCAAAAGACUUCACUAAAACAUCUUAGAACUGAAAAACAAGUUAAGUAAAGUUGCAGUAUACAAAAUUAACAUACAAAAAUCAAUCAGUAUUGUUUCUGAACACCAAUAAUGACAUAGCUGAAAAAGAAAUCAAGAAGGCAAUCACAUUUACAAUAGCUACAAAAAAAUAAAAAUACCUAGAAAUAAAUUUAUCCAAGGAAGCAAAAGAGCUCUACAAGGAAUACUACAAAACACUGAUGAAAGAAAUUGAAGAGGACACAAACAAAUGGAAAGACAUCCUAUGCUCAUGCAUCAGAAUAAUUAUUGUUGUUAAAAUGACCAUACUGCCCAAAGUGAUCUACAGUGUGAUCCCUAUCAAAAUACCAACAUCAUUUUUCACAAAAAUAAAAAAAUUCCUGGCCAGGUGCAGUGGCUCACCCCUGUAGUCCCAGCACUUUGGGAGGCCAAGGCAAGUCGAUUGCCUGAGGUCAGGAGUUCAAGAUCAGCCUGGCUAACAUGGUGAAGCCCCAUCUCUACUAAAAAUACAAAAAUUAGCCAGGUGUCAUGGCAGGCGCCUGUCAUCACAGCUACUGGGGAGGCUGAAGCAGGAGAAUCACUGGAACCUGAGAGGCAGAGGUUACAGUGAGCCAAGAUCCCACCACUGCACUCCAGGCUGGGCGGCAGAGUGAGUCGCCAUCUCAAACAAAAACAAAAAAAUAAAAAUUAAAAAAAAUUUAAAAUUCCUAAAAUGUGUAUGGAACUAAAAAAGAGCCAGAAUAGCCAAAGAAAUCCUGAGCAAAAAGAACAGAGCUAGAGGGAUCACACUACCUGACUUUAAAAUAUAUUACAAGGCUCUAUAGUAACCAAAACAGCAUUGUAUUGGUAUAAAAAAAGAGACAAAUAGACUAAUGAAACAGAAUAGAGAACCGGGGAAUAAAUCCACACAUUUACAGCCAACUGACCUUUGACAAAGCCAUCAAGUACAUACGUUGGGGAAAGGACACCCUUUAUAAUAAAAUGGUGCUGGGAAAACUGGAUAACCAUGUGUAGAAGAAUGAAACAGGACCCCUAUCUCUCUCUGUAUAUGAAAAUCAACUCAAGAUGGUUUAAAAGCUUAAACAUAAGACCCAAAACUAUAAACCUACUAGAAAAUAACAUAGGAAAAACUCUUCAGGACAUAGGUCUAGACAAAGAUUUUAUGGCUAAGAUCUCAAAAUCACAGGCAAGAAAACCAAAAAUAGACAAGUGGGACUAUAUUAAAUUAAAAAGCUCUCCACAGCAAAAGAAACAAUCAGUAGAAUGAAGAGACAGCCUGUUGAAUAAGAGAGAAUAUUUGCCUACUAAUUUCACAGGGGACUCAUAUCCAGAAUAUACAAGAAACUCAAACAACUCAACAGGAAAAAGAAAAGAAAACCCAAAUAAUCCCAUUAAAAAUGGGGUAAGGACAUGAAUAGACAGAUCUCAAAAGUAGACAUACAGGUGGCCUACAGUUGUGUGAAAAAAUGCUCAACAUCACCAAUCAUCAGGGAAAUGCAAAUCGAAACCACAAUGAGAUAUCCUCUUAUCCCAGUUAGAAUAGCUAUUACUAAAAAGACAAAAAUAACAAAUGUUGGUGAGGAUGUUGAGAAAUGGGAAAUCUUAUACACUGUAGGUGGGAAUGUAGAUUAGUACAGCCUCUAUGGAAAACAGUAUGAAGAUUUCUCAAAAAACUAAAAAUAGAACUACCAUGUACCCAGCAAUUCCACUACUUGGUAUUAUCUAAAGCAAAAUAAACUGCAUGUCAAAGGGAUACAUGCAGUCUCAUGUUUAUUGCAGCACUAUUCACUACAGAAAAGAUAUGGAAUCAGCCCAAAUGUCUCUCAGUGAAUGAGUGGAUAAAGAAAAUAUGGUAUAUAUACACAAUGGAAUACUAUUCGACCAUAAAAAAGAAUAAAAUCAUCAUUUAUAGCAACAUGGAUGGAACGGGAGGAUAUUAUGUUAAGUGAAAUCAGCAGGCACAGACAUAUUGCAUAUUAUCAUGUGGGAGCUAAAAAGUUGAUCACGUGGAGGUAGACGGUGAUCUACAAACAUAGUUUGGUUAAUGGGUACAAACAUAUAGUUAGAUAGAAGAAAUAAGUUCUAAUGUUCAAUAGCAGAGUAGGGUGACUAUAGUUAACAACAAUAUAUUGUAUAUUUCAAAGCAACCAAAAGAGAGGACUUGAAAUGUACCCAACAUGUAAAAGUGACAAACACUUGGGUGACAGAUACCCUAAAGAGCCUGACUUGAUCAUCACACAUUCUAUGCAUGCAACAAAAUUUCACAAGUACCCCAUAAAUAUAUACAAACAUAAUGUAUCAAAAAAUUUUUUUAAAUUGAAAAAAUACAGAAUACAGUUAUGUACAGUGUACAAUAUAAUACUAAUUUUGGUCUCUAUGUAUAUAAUCAGAAAGAUCAGAAGGGAAGGCAGCACAACUUCAACAGCGUUUAUCUCUAUGUGAUGAAUUAUAGAUUAUAUUAUACCUUUCUGUAGUUUAUAAGUUAUUCAGUGUUUCUCAUGUUUUACUGUAUAAUCACUAAGGAAGAAUACACAUUUUUCACAAAGCAAACUCAGAGGCACCUAAGAUAUACUGAAAAGUAUAGACUCCCCAAUUUAUAAUGGUUCGACUUAUAAUUUUUCAACUUUAUGAUGGUAUAAAAGUAAUAUGCAUUCAGUAGGACAUCAAUAAAUUACAUGAGAUGUUUAACACUUCAUUAUGAAAUAGGCUUUAUGGGCCAGGCGCAGUGGCUCACACCUGUAAUCCCAGCACUUAGAGAGGCCGACACAGGCAGAUCACCUGAAGUGAGGAAUUUGAGACCAGCAUGGCCGACAUGGUGAAACCCAAUCUCUACUAAAAAUACAAAAAUUAGCUGGUCGUGGGUGGCACGUGCCUGUAAUCCCUGCUAUUGGGGAGGCUGAGGCAGGAGAAUUGCUUGAAUCCAGGAGACAGAGGUUGCAGUGAGUUGAGAUCGUGCCAUUGCACUCCAGCCUGGAUGACAAGAGUGAAACUCCAUCUCAAAACAACAAAAACAACAAACAAAAAAUAAAAUAGGCUUUGUGUUGGAUGAUUUUGCCCAACUGUUGGCUAAUGUAAGUGUUCUGAGCACAUUUAAUGUAGGCUAGGCUAAGCUAUGAUGUUUGGUAAAUUCAAUGUAUUAAGUUCAUUUUCCACUUACUGAUAUACUAAAAUUACAAUGGGUUUAUUGAGAUGUAACCCCAUCAUAAAUCAAGGAGCAUCUGUAUUUGAGGAGUCAGCAAGCAAGGACUUAAGCCAGUCAGCUCAGUGGUCCAGAGUAAGUUUCUCUUCUGGGCCUGAUAUUCUUAUCUAGAAAACAGCCAUGGUAAUUAUACAGUUGUAAUGUAAAUUAAAUUUAGGAAAUGAGCCUUGCAUACACUAUGCAUUCAAUUAUAGGACAUUUCCCUAUAACAACAAAGUUUAAAAUUUGGUUGUAUUUUUUUGUCUGUCUUUUCCCCCUCAUAUAAUAUAGAUAAUAGUUUGCAAAUACUUUUGUACUCCUGAAUAUAAUCUUGCAUCUUCAAACAUAAGGGAAACAUUUAUUGGAAUGUUAUAAAACCUCAAUUUUGUAGUAUUCUUUGUGUUCUCUUGGUUUUAAUGGCUUGUCUAUAAAAAAUUACUCAUUCAUGCAGAAAUUAUUGUUUCUUACAUGGAAAGAAGCAUUGGAGAAUGAAAUGAUAAAUAAGAUAUAUUUGCUGUCAUAAAGGAUAUUUCACUCAUACAACCAACAAAUACACAAAUGUAUUAGGUUCCAUAGGGAGAAUGGGAGAAUAAUACAGUUUUGGAGUCCAGAAAUUACUUAUAUCUUACACAAAGAUUAUUCAUCUCAAUUUAAAAUGACAGUCACCAAAUUUAUGCAAAAGUUUUCUGUGAAUACUGGAGCUAAGAAAGAAAGUUAAUGGUUUGGUCUUUGCAAUUGGGCUUACUUCUAUUUGCUAUAGUUUAUUAAUUAAGAGUAAAGUCAACUUAGCAAAUAUUUACUUAGUACCCAUUAUAAGCAACAAACUGUGUGGGCAAGAGUGGAAAUGUGAAGAAAAUGGACUUUUUAUCUUCAAGGAGAUUAAAGUUUUAGGAAGUUCAACUAUGAAAAACUUAAUCACGUUAAAAUAUUUAUUUACUAUUUUAAAACAGCUAAAUAACUUGCAUACCAUGUCAAAAGGAUCUCAGGGGAAUGAGAGGUAGUUCAAAACUUCACUCAUUGGAAAAUUGGAACUUCAAAUGAGUCAAUGAAUAGGAUUAGACCAGACAGAGAGUUGCUGGGUAUGAUGUACUGGUUGGGUGAAACAGUGUGAGAAAAAGUGCAAAGGUAGACUAUAUACAAGGCACGUUUAGUGAACAACAAGUAAAGUAUGUACAAAAGUCAUUUGAAGGAUUUUCAGGAGAUAAGAAUAUCUUGAAAUAGUUGGGGCAAAUUUUUAAAAGUCUCAGAAGUCUAAGUAAUUAUGGCUUAUUCCUAUCAAUAUUGUGGCAUUAGUGCAGACUUUUUUUUAAAAGAUAUUGUCUACUUGAAGUAGUGUGUUAGGAAAUUAAUCUGGAAGGAAGUAUGUAAAAUUCAAGAAGGUCAUUUAGAAGGUCUUGUAGUCACAUUGUUAUAAUGAAAUAAAGGCCAGAAUAAGUGUUGCAAUAUUUAUCAAACAUUCCACAGACUUGCCAAUGUAAAGAUGAAAAAGCAAUUGCUGGGUGUGGUGGCUCAUACCUGUAAUCCCAGCAUUUUGGGGGCUGAGGCGGGUGGAUUGUCUAAGCUCAGGAGUUGGAGAACAGCCUGGACAACAUGGUGAAACCCUGUCUCUACUAAAAAUACAAAAAAAUUAGCCAGGCAUGGUGGCACGAGCCUGUAAUCCCUGCUACUGGGGCGGCUGAGGCACAAGAAUCACUUAAACCCGGGAGGCAGAGGUUGCGGUGAGCUGAGAUAGGGCCACUGCACUCCAGCCUAGGCGACAGAGACAGACUCUGUCUCCAAAAAAAAAAAAAAAAAAAAAAUGAAGGAACAAUGUUACUAAAGUAAUAAAAAAGAAGCCUGGGCAACAUAGUGAGAUCUCAUGUCUACAAAAAAAAGAAAAAAAGAAUUACCUGGGCUUGAUGAUGCACCCUGUAGUCCUGGCUACUCAGGAGGCCAAGGUAGGAGGACUACUUAAGCCCAGGAAGUCAAGGCUGCAGUGAGCUGUGGUUGCGCCAUGGUACUCCAGCCUGGGCAACAGACCGAGACCCUGCCUAGAAAAGAAAAAGAAAAGAAAAGAGUUACAGCACUUUUUCAGAGAUACUUAUCUGUGCAUUUUCUCUGAUAAAUGCAAAAUUUUCUCUGUCCAGGUAGGGAGAAAUUGGAGCAGGCUUCUUCGUAUGGUUUUCUUUUCUUUUUCUUUUUUUUCUUUUUUUGAGACAGUCUUGUCUGUCUCCAGGCUGCAGUGCAGUGGCUUGAUCUCCACUCACUGCAGCCUCCACCUCCCGGAUUCAAGCGAUUCUCCUGCCUCAGCCUCCUGAGUAGCUGGGACUACAGGCACGUGCCAUCACGCCCGGCUAAUUUUUGUAUUUUUAGUAGAGAUGAGUUUCACCAAGUUAGCCAGGAUGGUCUCUAUCUCCUGACCUCAUGAUCUGCCCGCCUUGGCCUCCCAAAGUGCUGGGAUCACAGGCAUGAGCCACUGUGCCUGGCCCGUAUGGUUUUCUUAAGGAGUAGCAAUUAAAUGAAAUGAAAUCUCUUACAUUACUUUCUUUUAUCAUUUGUAUUUUGUAUUAUUAAAAUGGGCCAGUUUAUAAUGCUUGAGAAAGAAUCCAUGAACUAUUGACCUAAACUAAACUGUAGAGUCAGCUUUUGGAAAGAAAAAGUUGAUCUCUUCCCUGAGUUAAACAUUCUUAGAAGUUCUUGGUCUUUUAAACAUCUUUAUAAAAAUUGAUAAAACUGGAAUCUUUUAGCAGUAACUUUCAUAUAUCAUAAUCUCUGCUAGUAAAAAGGAUAUUUUUUCAUGAUUUAUUGGUAUCUGUCAACUUCAGAAUCAUCAUCUAGGAUUUAUCUCUAUGAAAUAUGCAGUUACAGAAUUUAUUGCAUAGUUAAUAUUUUCCAUCAAUCUUGCCUUUCAAAUUGGAAGUCUCCAUUAAAACAUAUUUUAAUGAUAGUAAGACAUGCCAACCUUUCUAUCAGUUUUUUAUAUGUACUGAAUAUUAAGGUGUUGUUCAUCAUUUACACAAUGAUCAUAUUUCAUUACAAUUACUAUCAUUUAGUUCAACUCGAUGUCAGACUGCCCACUGGAUGCUGUAUACAAAUCAACCACUGAAUAGAGUUGGAUUUAUUUUAGGCUUUUAAAUGAAAGCAUUGUCGCAACUCACUUUAAUUUAUUUGAUUUUUCCACUAAUCUAUGAAGUCCUAUUUGGAAACAUCGUGGUAUAACGUAAAGAACAUUGAGUAUGGAGUGGUGUAGUAAUAUAUUCAUAAUUAUGUGGCUUUAUGUACGUUAUUUAAAUGCCCUCGUGUAUGUAUUAUGAGGCAGGCACAGUGCAAGGCUCUGGGAAUGGUACACAAAGAUGAUAGAACUUUGCUUGAAGAUGUGUCAAGUUUAAUGAUAGUGGAGAGUGGAGGUAUAGCAAGUAAGAUCUCAGAAAGCUAUUGAAAUUACAUUAGAUAACGUGUAUCCAGUGCACAGACCAACAAAGACAAGGUUGUUACUAUUGGUUCUCUCUUUACAAAUGUUACCUAUUUGGCUUCUUUAUAGCAGACCCGAUUUUAUAUAGUGAUAAUUUGGUAGAAUUCCAAAUUGCAUUGGUAAGUGGAGUUUUACUGGACACAAAAUCUUAUUUAGGUCAAGGUUUGAGUCUGAGCUAUUGUUUUUUUUUUUGAGGCGGAGUCUCGCUCCUUCGCCCAGGCUGGAGUGCAGUGGCGCUAUCUCGGCUCACUGCAAGCUCCGCCUCCCGGGUUCACGCCAUUCUCCUGCCUCAGCCUGCCGAGUAGCUGGGACUACAGGCGCCUGCUACCGCGCCCGGCUAAUUUUUUGUAUUUUUAGUAGAGACGGGUUUUCACUGCGUUAGCCAGGAUGGUCUCCAUCUCCUGACCUCGUGAUCCACCCGCCUCGGCCUCCCAAAGUGCUGGGAUUACAAGCGUGAGCCACCGCGCCUGGCCCUGAGCUAUUGUAUCUAUGCAUUCUCCUUAAUAUGCAGUUUGAGUUUCACUGAAGAGAAGGAAUUUUUCAAAUAUCUACUAGAAUUUCUUGCUUACUUGAAUUUAACAAAUUAAUCAUCUGCUUUUCUUUUGAAUGUAACUCAAGGGAAUGUGGAACAGGCAUCCUUGAGAUGUAUUAAAUUAUUAGCUGGCAUAAUUUUUGAGAAUGCCUAUACAGCUAUACAAGGUGUUCAUAAUACUCAAAGGAUCUUAAUUUUCUUGUAAGUAGGAAAUAAACUGCCCAUGUUUUUAGACCUUAAUAUUUUAAACUCUUUACGGUCUAAAUUUCAUCUCAAAUACUCUAAAUGAAAACCAAAUGGGCCACUGGCAAAUCAAGAUGAAGGAAUUUGAAUGCCCCAUGGUAUGCUAUUAGAAGAUGAAGACUAUUUUUUCUCAAGGGGUUUACUGUAAUUUAAUAUUAUGAGGUAUUCUUUGAAUUCAAAGACCUGCCCCCAGUAAGGCAUAAGAUAUGAAUAGCAAACCUCACUACUUAUUUAUCUGGCACUUGAACUCAAAAUGUGCCUGGGUCCCAAAGGAGCUAGACAUAUAUAAAUACAAAAUAUAGCCAUGAUUAUAUUAAUAAACAUUCAUAUUAUUAAUAUAAGCAGUCAUUUAUAUUAAUAAGCAUUCAUAUUUAUUAAUAUAAACAUGGCUAUAUUUAAUGCAAUUUGUGAUAGUCAAGUUUAUUCAGUGAAAGAAAAACAUGGAAUAAAUAUUUGUGCUUAUUUAAGUUUUAUCUACCAUAAUUACUUAUACAUCUCCCCUUUUAGAACCAAUAUUCUGCCUUUUAAAUUAUGAUAAUUGAACACAAUCAUGCAAUCCUCCCACCUCUGUCUCCUGAGUAGCUGGGACUACAGGCACAGGCCAACCACACCUGGCUAAUAUUUAAAAAAAAAAUUUUUUUUGUAGAUAUGAGGUCUUGCUGUGUUGCUCAGGCUGGUCUCAAAACGCCUGGGCUCAAGCGAUGCCCCUGCCUGGGCCUCUCAAAGUGCUGGGAUUACAGGUAUAAGCCGCUGCACCUGGCCCUAGCAACAUCUUAAGGGUUGAUCUUCUGAAAUCUUUAUAACAUCAGGUAAAAAGCAGAUAAGAGUGGGAUUACCUGCACUUUUUGUGCUGAGCAUUCAGUUCCCCUCUCUAGAAGAGUAUCACUAGGAUUUACAAUUUUUGUAAAACAUAACCGGUGUAUUGCUAUACAAACCAGUAACUUGUCAAGGGAAAUAUCUGAUAGGUGUUUCCUUAACAAAAUGAUCAAACUUAGCAUUUCCAACAGGAUGAGAUAAAAUAUCCUUUUUUGCCUUUGAAUGUGAUACAUGAGAAGCUCACAACAUCACCUAUAUAAUAUUCUGGAAUUUUAAAAAAAUGGAAUCUACUCAUCAGAAAACAAUGCACAUUGUAAGACAUAGUGUAAAACAGGUAGCCCUUACUCUUCAAAAAUGUCAUUGACAUAAAAGACACAAAGGGCUGGUGAACUGAUUCGAUUAGGGAAAACUAAAGAAAUAUGACAACUCAAUUCAAUGUGUGACUUUGGAUUAAUUCUUAGAUAAGAAAAAGAAAACAAAAAAGCUAUAAAAAGUACAUUAUUGAAACAGUUGGGAAAAUUUGAACAUGGACUUUAUCUUAGAUACUAGGUUUAAAAAAAAAAAUCAGUGUUAAAUUUCCUGAGUGUGAUCAUUGUAUUGUGGUUAGGUAGGUAUGUAAGAUAAUACUUUUUUCCUUUGGAGACACAUGCUGAAGUAUUUAGGGUUGAAGUGUCAAAGUCUGCAAGUAACUCUCAAAUGGUUGAGAGAGAGAGAAGAAAAUAUGUAUAUCUAUAUAUAUAAAGAUAAAACAAAUGAGAUGAAAUGCUAAAACUGGCAAAUUUAGGGGAACAGCAAACAGAUGUUCAAUGUAUUAUUCUUCUGACACUUAUGAAUGUGUAAAAUUUUUCCAAAUAAAAAAUUUGCAAAAUGCAUAUACAAACCAGAGAAAAUGAGAUUGAGUACACAACAUAAAGUAGUGUGAAUUUGGUUGUUAUUAAUCAUAUGCUUAAUUCUCAUUUUAAUAAGACAUAUAUAUGUAUAUAUAUACAUAUAUACACACACAUGUAUAUAUACAUAUAUACACACACGUAUAUAUAUACAUAUAUACACACACGUAUAUAUAUACACAUAUACACACACGUAUAUAUACACAUAUACACACACGUAUAUAUACAUAUAUACACACACGUAUAUAUACAUAUAUAUACACACAUGUAUAUAUAUACAUAUAUAUAUAUACACAUGUAUAUAUAUAUAUAUUUUUUGAAACAGUUUCACUCUGUAUCCAGGGUGGAGUGUAAUGGCACGAUCAUGGCUCACUGCAGCCUUGAUCUCCUGGCUCAAGCAAUCCUCCCAUCUCAGCCUCCCAAGUAGCUGGUACUACAGGUGCACACCACCAUACCCGGCUAUUUUUUUUUUUUUUUGGUAGAGAUAGGGGUCUCUCUAUGUUGCCCAGGCUGGCCUAGAACUCUUGAGCUCAAGCCAUCUUCCUGCCUUGGCCUCCCAAAGUGCUAGCAUCACAGCCAUGAGCCACCAUGCCUGGGCAAGAGAUAUUUUUAAAUGUCAUAUUUUUAAACUGGAUGAAAGUCAUUGAUAAUAUAACCUACUUACAGAUAUAAUUCAAAGAGUCAAUAUAAUGCCCUCACUGUAACAUACAAGAGAAGAAAAGAUAAUAUUCUUCAAUAGUCUAAUUCUCGGGCACAACUACACUAUUAGACUGCCCCCACACAUUUCCAGAAUUUCCCCUAGAGGGUGGUACUGUCCCUGUAGUGAACAACUGGAUUAACUGCUAGUGUAGCAGGGAUAUUACCCUGAGACAUCAGAGAUUACAACAUGACCAUGUGCAUUUGCUGAAUGGGUAAGAAGGCCCAUGGAAUAUCAAUCUGUAUCUAUUAAUUGCCUGAGGGUUUUGAGGUUUUGGUUAUACACUGAGGGAUUAUUAGGGGGUGAAUGAGUUACAGAUGAAGUAUGGAAAGGGCUGCAGGCUGUCUUGGUUCCCAUAGACUUUGUUUAAACUCCGUAGAGGAAUGAAGUCCUGGGUAAAAGCUGAAAAAUCUGGGUUUUUUUUCCUAGGGGUUCAGAAGGAGAUGUAGACACCAAUAUGUUGUUUCUUGAUAUGCUGAUAACACAGCUGAAUGCAAUUUAUUUUGUCUAUGUUGGUUUCUUAAAAUUAUGCAAUGAAGGAAAUGUUUUCCCAUGCCCUGGAUGAAACUUGGCAGCUCAUAGCUUUUCUGAUUACUAUUACUGUUACCUAAUAGUGGGUAACUCUAAGUUGCCGUGAUUCAGUAAGUGAUUAAUAAAAUGUUCAGUCUCAAAUUCAGGAAAGUCUCAGGAUACAAAAUCAAUGUGCAAAAAUCAAAAGCAUUCUUAUACACCAGUGACAGACAAACAGAGAGCCAAAUCAUGAGUGAACUCCCAUUCACAAUUGCUUCAAAGAGAAUUAAAUACCUAGGAAUCCAACUUACAAGGGAUGUGAAGGACCUCUUCAAGGAGAACUACAAAUCACUGCUCAAUGAAAUAAGAGGAUACAAACAAAUGGAAGAACAUUCCAUGCUCAUGGGUAGGAAGAAUCAAUAUCGUGAAAAUCGCCAUACUGCCCAAGGUAAUUUAUAGAUUCAAUGUCAUCCCCAUCAGGCUACCAAUGACUUUCUUCACAGAAUUGGAAAAAACUAUUUUGAAGUUCAUAUGGAACCAAAAGAGAACCUGCAUUGCCAAGUCAAUCCUAAGCCAAAAGAACAAAGCUGGAGGCAUCACACUACCUGACUUCAAACUAUACUACAAGGCUACAGUAACCAAAACAGCAUGGUACUGGUACCAAAACAGAGAUAUAGACCGAUGGAACAGAACAGAGCCCUCAGAAAUAAUGCCACACAUCUACAACCAUCUGAUCUUUGACAAACCUGACAAAAACAAGAAAUGGGGAAAGGAUUCCCUAUUUAAUAAAUGGUGCUGGGAAAACUGGCUAGCCAUAUGUAGAAAGCUGAAACUGAAUCCCUUCCUUACACCUUAUACAAAAAUUAAUUCAAGAUGGAUUAAAGACUUAAAUAUUAGACCUAAAACCAUAAAAACCCUAGAAGAAAACCUAGGCAAUACUAUUCAGGACAUAGGCAUGGACAAGGACUUCAUGACUAAAACACCAAAAGCAAUGGCAACAAAAGCCAAAGUUGACAAAUGGGAUCUAAUUAAACUAAAGAGCUUCUGCAGAGCAAAAGAAACUACCAUCAGAGUCAACAGGCAACCUACAGUAUGGGAAAACAUUUUUGCAGUCUACUCAUCUGACAAAGGGCUAAUAUCCAGAAUCUACAAAGAACUCAAACAAAUUUACAAGAAAAAAAACAAACAACCCCAUCAACAAGUGGGCGAAGGAUAUGAACAGACACUUCUCAAAAGAAGACAUUUAUGCAGCCAAAAGAUACAUGAAAAAAUGCUCAUCAUCACUGGCCAUCAGAGAAAUUCAAAUCAAAACCACAAUGAGAUACCAUCUCACACCAGUUAGAAUGGCGAUCAUUAAAAAGUCAGGAAACAACAGGUGCUGGAGAGGAUGUGGAGAGAUAGGAACACUUUUACACUGUUGGUAGGACUGUAAACUAGUUCAACCAUUGUGGAAGUCAGUGUGGUGAUUCCUCAAGGAUCUAGAACUAGAAAUACCAUUUGACCCAGCCAUCCCAUUACUGGGUGUAUACCCAAAGGAUUGUAAAUCAUGCUGCUAUAAAGACACAUGCACACAUGUGUUUACUGCAGCACUAUUCACAAUAGCAAAGACUUGGAACCACCCCAAAUGUCCAACAAUGAUAGAGUGGAUUAAGAAAAUGUGGCACAUAUACACCAUGGAAUACUAUGCAGCCAUAAAAAAUGAUGAGUUCAUGUCGUUUGUAGGGACAUGGAUGAAGCUGGAAACCAUCAUUCUCAGCAAACUAUCGCAAGGACAAAAAACCAAACUCCGCGUGUUCUCACUCAUAGGUGGGAAUUGAACAAUGAGAACACUUGGACACAGAAGGGGAACAUCACACACCGGGGCCUCUUGUGGGGUGGGGGUAGGGGGUAGGGAUAGCAUUAGGGGAUAUACCUAAUGUAAAUGAUGAGUUAAUGGGUGCAGCACACCAACAUGGCACAUGUAUACAUAUGUAACAAACCUGCACGUUGUGCAUAUGUACCCUAAAACUUAAAGUACAAUAAAAAUAAAUAAAUGUUCAGUCCAAUAUAUUAGGAAAUGCUUCAUUCCGAGGUAAAUACUUCUGUUCCCUUCCAAUUCUUCGGUUAGAGCCUAUAGUGGGCAGUUCCCUACCCUCUCUGGAAGAGGGUGUGGUUGACUUUUUUCUUUUUCAUUGCCCUACCUCUUUCCACUAGCUACCCAUAUUUCUGACUGCUCCAGAGGGAAUUACAACUUGGAGUGGAAAUGCAGAAAAGAGGCGAGAGAGUGUCAUUGAAUAGGUCUUCAGAUGACCUUAGUCUCUCUGGGUCCAGCAGAUGUUGAAAGUGGACCAUCCUGUGGCUGUUCUCAUGGCACUCUGGAGGUUCCCUGCUGGUCUCACUGAAAGUUCUCUACAGGCUAGAGGUGAAAGAGGUAGAGUUGGGCUUUUGCCCUUUCCGUUUGGGGAACGGGUGGUUCUCACAGCACUCAGUGGCUUUCUCCAAAUAAAUAUUUUUACGAAUCCUCUCUGACUUUCCACUGCCUUGAUUCUUUUAUAUCCUUGAUGUGUCCUUAGAGUUGUCUAACUUUCUUUCAAAGUACACAACUCGUACUUUACUUUAGAGUUUUAUGUAUUUUAUGAUGGAGCCUCAGUGGAAACUCCCAAUUUAACAUUUCAUUUUCCUUAAAUUCCUGGGUAACAGUGCAGCAGUGCGAAGAAGCUAGAGGUGGUGAAGUCAAAUUUAAAUUUGAUUUUAGAUUUUAUGACUAGCUUUGUGAUUGUGGACAAGUCACUUAGCCUAUUUUUUAAAAUGAAAGUAACGUAUAUCACUAGGAUUGAUGUGGGAUACAAACAGGGUACCCUGUAAAUCAUUAAAGCUUGAUCAUAGUAAGUGCUCAGUAACUUGUAGUUACUACUGUUAUCUUUCCCUUUUCUGUGAAGAACAAUCUAACACCUUCAGAGCUGGCAGAUUUAGGAGAUGAGAAGAAAUUUCCUUGGAAUGGAUAUCAGUAUUCUUAUGGAAGGCACCCAUACUGUAGCAAUGGUGAAACACUCUGUGGCUUCACAGGUAGUGGACAUGAACCCAGGAACAAGAGUAGUAGAGGUGACAGGAUCGACUAUGAGUAUCUGAGAUAUAACCAGGUGAGACUUUGUGGGAGCAAAGUCCUGCAUGACCCUGCUGUGGAAAGUUCCAGUGAAAUCUGUGUUAUUACUGAUACCAUGAGCCCAUCAUCCCCACAGCCAGUGGUUCAAAGUGAAGAGAAGAGCGUAUCAGAUUUCAUAAGAUGUAGAAUUAUGUUUUCUCUUCUUAAGGGAGAAACACUAAAAUGGUUGGAAUGCUUUCAGUUGCAAGCAGAAGACUACCUAAGAGUGAAAUAAAGAUUUUUAAUUAUCUAACAUAACAAGAAGUAUAGGCAACUGUUUGUGUUGGUAUGCUGACUGCAUUAUGGUAAGGCCAGCCUCUCUGCGAUUCUUUUAGCCUUCCGUCUUGAUCACAAAAUGUUUUCUGCCUUUCCAGGCAUCAGGUCUUCAUCAAAAGCAGGAAUAAGUGGGAAGAGUUGGUGUCAAUCACGUAUGUGCUUUUGUCAAGAAAGUUCAAGUUUUCUAGAACCACCCCCUACCCUACCGAGACCUCUGUGUGUUUGCAUCUUACUUAUCAGGGUGGUGUCACGAGGCCACAACCACUAGCUGUAAGGGAGGUUGGGAAAGCCUCUCUGGUGGAGUUGGGUGAGAGUGAAGGAGUUUGGAACGGGGUUGUGUUCAUCAACGGACAGAGUCUGCCACAGAUGCCAUCAUCUUUUUGGGUGUGAACAUCAUUCUGGAUACUUCAGAAAACCCAAACCCCAGCAAAUCCAGACAAGCUCCAGAAAUGCUCCCACAACUUAGAGUAAUAUGGGUAAGAAUGAUGAAAAGAAAAUCAAUAUGGAAUUACAGGUUAGAAAUUCCAGAAGAAAAGACUGAGGCAGAUGGAGGAGAAGGAACAAUCAGUUAAAUAGUGACACAGGCUCCCUGAACUGAGGAUAGAUUAUCAGGUCAAAGCAGCUCGCCGCAUUUGAGGUAAAAUUAAUGAGUAUUAGCUCAUAGUUGACACUGUUGAAUUUCAAAUUUUAAGAAGAAAAAAAGUCUCAUAUCCAUCCUGAGGAAAGUAUGUUAUCAACACAAGAAGAAAAAUCAUGUAGGCAUCUGAUUUCUCCACAAUAUUAACAGUUAGAAAAUGGAAACAAUGGCUGCAGAUUUUUGAGGGAAAAUUAUUGACUUAAUAAUUUCUGAACUCAAAGAAGACUUCACAAAUAAUUUUCACACAUGCACAGCUUUUAACUACUUCACUCAUAUACUUUCAUGAAAAAAUUACUCCCCCAAUUUUUUAGGUUAAAAAGGAAAUGCACCAAAAAUAAACAAUGAAAUAUAUAAUAGAAAAGAAGUGGCUGGGUGCAGUGGCUCACGGAUGCAAUCCCAGGACUUUGGGAGGCUGAGGAAGGUGGAUCACCUGAGGUCAGGAGUUCGAGACCAGCCUGGCCAACAUGGUGAAAUCCCAUCUCUGCUAAAAAUACAAAAAUUAGCUGGGGGUGGUGGCGUGCACAUGUAAUCUCAGCUACUCUGGAGGCUGAGGCAGGAGAAUCGCUUGAACGCGGGAGGUGGAGGUUGCAGUGAGCUGAGAUCGGACCAUUGCACUCCAGCCUGGGUAGCAGAGUAAGACUGAGUGGCAGAGCAAGACUCUGUCUCAAAAAAAAAAAAAAAAAAAAAAAAGGUAUUAUUAAGCAACAAAGUCACUGAAAGUUUAUGUCUAAGUAACUGUUUUGGCUUUGAAACUCUUAUGACUUAAAUAUUCUCUAACUAGAAAAUACAUAAAAUAAUAUAGAUUAAUAUCUGAGAUAUUUAAAAGAAAAAUUGUGAAAUGUGGAGAGGGAGGAUGGAAAAGGGAGGGAAUGAACCAGCUAAAUUUUUCAUCUUUCACCAGUUAAAAGACAAAUAAUGGAAUAAAAUUAUUAAUGUGGUAUUAAUAGACUCUUUCCCCCAGCCCACAUGAGAAAAUGUUAUCUUGCUUGCCAGACUUUCCCCUGCCUUAUGUUACUGCCAAACUAGUUCCUGUGUUUUGGUCACAUAUAAUUGGAAGAUGCACAGAAAAGGAUGUGUCCAGAGAUGCUGAAGGAGGAGGUUAUAGAUUGGGAGAAAUGAGGGAGAUAGGAAAAGUCAAAAGUUUCCCAGAAUGGAGUGGAUCAAUUUGAGGGCUUUUCUCCCCCUUUGGGGUUUGAGUUGGUGAAUAAGAAGCACAAGAGGGUGUGGGAGAAAGCUGAAUAGGAGAGGAAAGGAGAUUCAAGAUGUGUUCAUGGGGGUUAUGCAUCAGAACCUCUUUACAUCCUUUGAAAGAUGAAAGUAGAACAUGCAACUCCUUUCUUAAGACUCUGUUGAGUCUUAAAACAGUUAACAUUCUGAUGAACUUUGCUAAAUUUAUGAUGCUGUGCAGAGAAGGAACCAUAAAGAUGACAGCUUCAAUAGGGUUACACCUGGAGGAUUUGUCUAAAAUUGUGGACGGAAAGCACAGCUUUCAGCUGAAAUUUUAGAAUAAAACCAUUGCUUUGUCACUGGAGUCAAGAGUACGUUAUUACCAGACUUUACAAUAAUAGUGGCAAGGAGAGAAGCUCCAAUAGCAGCUGGGAUAACACCAGACAUGUCCUGGUGGAUGUGCUGAAAUCUGAGUUGUAAAUGAUGUCUCAUGGGGAGUGGAUGUGCCAGCUGCAGAACUAAACUUAUAUGGUGCUAUGCAACUUCACUAAAUUUAGAAACUCUGAAGGAAUCUUUUGCAACAUAGUGCAAUGAAAAUUAUGUUUUACUGCAGUUCCACAGAUCCCCAGUUUCUCAAGCGGUUAGACCUCUGCAAAUCCUCAGAGGAAGCCAAAGCCAGAUCUGGAUAACUCAGACCUUGGCUGACCAAUCCCUCAUGCCAGAACUGGGUCCCAUGGGGACAUGGUGAUGGCCAGAUAGACUGAAUUUUAGAAUCACCUAUAGGCUGUUUUCCAGAAAUGGAAAGUAAUGUGUCAGAGACUGAAGAAAAUCACUUUACAUUAUGGUUAGACAAAGUUCACAGAUGAACAGGAUUUAGCAUCAGAGAGAUGUUUCCAGCCUAAAGUUUCUUAGGAUCUAAAGAACUGAGCUUUAUGUACAGGGUGAAUCAGAGACAGUGACCAUUGAGUGGUGUUUGCCAAACUCAGUGUGGUACAGAGACGGGCCACAUGAGUCAUCAUUUCAAUAGGGUGGCAGACAUUUUUAUUUGGGAUGUUAGGAAGUGUAUGUUCAAUGAUUUUUAAAAUAUUAAGUAUAAGAUAAAAAUGCUAGUAGAGUCAUUCUCACUAACUCUGUUAGAAAAUUCCUGGAGUAAAUUUUGGUUUGGUUGGUUCUCUCUAAAGAUUAAUACCCACUGGGGUCACCACCAGAAGAAACCAGAGAAUGAAAACAGCACCUACUAAUGCCAGGAAGGCAGAGCCCAAAUAAGAAAACACUCCAUGUGGAGUGAAAGCUGCAGGAUGCUCUUUUUACCUCCCAUCUAUGUGAUUUGGUCAGCCUUACAAACCCAGAACCAUUGCACCUGUCACUAUGACUACAUGACUACGAUUACUCCCAUUUCACAGGGGAAGAGAGCUGAAUUAUCUUGGAGCUUCUCCUUUGAUAUAGCAGUUGUACAGGAACCUCAGUCAACUGGCCUGUUGUGCAGAAAGUUCUCAAGCCUGGUGCCAAGAGUACUGGGAACCACGAAUUCCCUUCUCGCCCCUGCGUCUUUGAAGCUGACCCCUGGAAGAGCAGAAAUCCUUGGCUCGGGUUCUGGAGUGGAUGGGAGACAGUUUACUGAUAAACUUAUUAAAAAUUUUGAAGA
Homo sapiens (human) is the source of this 23025-nucleotide long non-coding RNA. RefSeq lists it as uncharacterized. The record is from RefSeq and is a predicted model, not a curated record. The transcript has 3 exons. Lineage: Eukaryota; Metazoa; Chordata; Mammalia; Primates; Hominidae.